GAUGAACGCUGGCGGCAUGCUUUACACAUGCAAGUCGAACGGUAACAGGCCGCAAGGUGCUGACGAGUGGCGAACGGGUGAGUAAUGCAUCGGAACGUGCCCAGUCGUGGGGGAUAACGCAGCGAAAGCUGUGCUAAUACCGCAUACGAUCUAUGGAUGAAAGCGGGGGACCGUAAGGCCUCGCGCGAUUGGAGCGGCCGAUGUCAGAUUAGGUAGUUGGUGGGGUAAAGGCUCACCAAGCCAACGAUCUGUAGCUGGUCUGAGAGGACGACCGGCCACACUGGGACUGAUAGACGGCCCAGACUCCUACGGGAGGCAGCAGUGGGGAAUUUUGGACAAUGGGCGCAAGCCUGAUCCAGAAAUGCCGCGUGCAGGAAGAAGGCCUUCGGGUUGUAAACUGCUUUUGUACGGAACGAAAAGGUUUGGGUUAAUGCCCUGGGCCGAUGACGGUACCGUAAGAAUAAGCACCGGCUAACUACGUGCCAGCCGCCGCAGUAA
Molecule: ribosomal RNA, 498 nt
Filed under: uncultured bacterium
Lineage: Bacteria
Description: partial 16S ribosomal RNA
Rfam family: Bacterial small subunit ribosomal RNA
Source: RNAcentral